This 267-nucleotide small RNA is filed under the name Pteropus vampyrus (large flying fox). RNAcentral describes it as "7SK RNA (ENSPVAG00000029086.1)". Lineage: Eukaryota; Metazoa; Chordata; Mammalia; Chiroptera; Pteropodidae. The record is from RNAcentral.
GUGAGGUCAGUCUUUUGUGGCAUCCACCCUCUUGUUGAUGGUCAAUAUUGAGUAGGCUAAUUGCACAGGUGGGUGCCCCACUCCUUCCUCAGCACAGGGUCUGUGUCCCUCUCGGUGUAGGGCCACCAUUUUAGACAAAUGAGUCACUCUUGGGUUGAGGAAUUUUGAGCCUCUGCACUCCUUUGUUGAAACUUCCAUAAAAGUAAAAACGAUCCCACUUUUCAAAAUUAAUAUAUAGACUGUCACUCAAACUGACACGUGGUUGGU